UAAUACGGGGGGAGCAAGCGUUGUUCGGAUUUACUGGGCGUAAAGGGCGCGUAGGCGGCGCGACAAGUCACUUGUGAAAUCUCCGGGCUCAACUCGGAACGGCCAAGUGAUACUGUCGUGCUAGAGUGCGGAAGGGGCAACUGGAAUUCUCGGUGUAGCGGUGAAAUGCGUAGAUAUCGAGAGGAACACCUGCGGCGAAGGCGGGUUGCUGGGCCGACACUGACGCUGAGGCGCGAAAGCUAGGGGAGCGAACGGGAUUAGAUACCCCGGUAGUCCUAGCCUUAAACGAUGAAUGCUUGGUGUCCGGGGUUAUAUAGUCCUCGGGUGCCGUCGCUAACGCUUUUAGCAUUCCGCCUGGGGAGUACGGUCGCAAGACUG
This 378-nucleotide ribosomal RNA is filed under the name uncultured bacterium. Its description in RNAcentral is "bacterial SSU rRNA". It matches the Rfam family "Bacterial small subunit ribosomal RNA", at positions 521 to 896 of the family's 1533-position model. The record is from RNAcentral.